This is a non-coding RNA of Procambarus clarkii (red swamp crayfish), 408 nucleotides long. Lineage: Eukaryota; Metazoa; Arthropoda; Malacostraca; Decapoda; Cambaridae. The record is from RefSeq and is a predicted model, not a curated record.
GACACACAUCACAAGCAAUAAACGUAUUACCGAACAUUCUGAGAGAUAAACAUAUACAUUAACUAGCACAGCACGAGGAUAUGGUCGUUAAGCACUGUGACGUCACCAAUGACGCUGUGUUAGGCAAGAAGGUCAGGAGCGGACGGCGUCGCCUCAGUGUCGGGCUGACAGCCAACAGACGUAGUUCCUUAGGCGGUGUCCCGCUUCUUACUUCAUUUGCAGCUACACCGGUCAUCAGGGUCUGGCUCGACAUUGGCCACGAGUCUUCUUGAGAAAUAACUUUAAAGUGAACGGAAGACUAGUCAGUCACAAGGCACGGAACUAGUUUUGGCGUGACGUAGCUGCAAGUCUCGAUAGAGGUGGUUGGACGGUGUUGAACACGGGGCGGCUGGCAACGUUGCAGGAAUA